AUACUCACCUGGCAGGGGAGCCAUCAUGAUCAUGAAGGUGGUUUUCCCAGAGUGAGGCUAAUGGACUCUGGAUGUGCUCUCCCCUGAAAUUUCCCCAAAUGUGGGAAAUUCAACUGCACAGUUUGAGGUAGUCAGGGACUGUGUUCAUGCUUUCCCCCA
Molecule: small nuclear RNA, 159 nt
Organism: Otolemur garnettii (small-eared galago)
Lineage: Eukaryota; Metazoa; Chordata; Mammalia; Primates; Galagidae
Gene: U1
Rfam family: U1 spliceosomal RNA
About the family: U1 is a small nuclear RNA (snRNA) component of the spliceosome (involved in pre-mRNA splicing).
Source: Ensembl